This 254-nucleotide ribosomal RNA is filed under the name uncultured bacterium. RNAcentral describes it as "partial 16S ribosomal RNA". It matches the Rfam family "Bacterial small subunit ribosomal RNA", at positions 524 to 776 of the family's 1533-position model. The record is from RNAcentral.
UACGUAGGGUGCAAGCGUUGUCCGGAAUUAUUGGGCGUAAAGAGCUCGUAGGCGGUCUGUCGCGUCGAUCGUGAAAACUUGGGGCUUAACCCUGAGCUUGCGGUCGAUACGGGCAUGACUGGAGUUCGGCAGGGGAGACUGGAAUUCCUGGUGUAGCGGUGAAAUGCGCAGAUAUCAGGAGGAACACCGGUGGCGAAGGCGCCACUCUGGGCCGAAACUGACGCUGAGGAGCGAAAGCGUGGGUAGCAAACAGG